AUUACGGAACAAUUCUCACGUCAUAUCCGCUACCUCAAGGCUAAUCGCUACUUGGUUCUUUCGUAACAGAAAGAUUUAAUGAACGCCCAGAUGGUUUGACCACCAAUGUCUCUCCCCCCUCAACCUGGAAUACGCGGAAGAUGAGGCCGAGACCCAGGAGCCAAGUUCCGCGAGAAGUUGGGAACAUUUUCAAAGACGAAAAAGUUCACCUUGAUAGGGUCGUUGUGGGUGCCUUGUCCGCUUCUCUUAUCUGAAAGCCACCCAAAGUGAAGUGGUGAGCGCAGUAGACGUUCGUUCUCGUUCGUCUUCUUAUUCUCAUUC
Long non-coding RNA from Tigriopus californicus, 321 nucleotides. RefSeq lists it as uncharacterized. The transcript has 3 exons. The record is from RefSeq and is a predicted model, not a curated record. NCBI's taxonomy places the organism in Eukaryota, Metazoa, Arthropoda, Copepoda, Harpacticoida, Harpacticidae.